UCCCCCCCCACUCCGAUGAAGAUGACGGGUGGAACUUAAGCAU
This 43-nucleotide ribosomal RNA is filed under the name Giardia muris. Its description in RNAcentral is "large subunit ribosomal RNA". Lineage: Eukaryota; Fornicata; Diplomonadida; Hexamitidae. The record is from RNAcentral.